GACGAACGCUGGCGGCGUGCUUAACACAUGCAAGUCGAACGCUGAAGCUCAGCUUUUGUUGGGUGGAUGAGUGGCGAACGGGUGAGUAACACGUGAGUAACCUGCCUCCUUCUUUGGGAUAACGCCCGGAAACGGGUGCUAAUACUGGAUAUUCACUGGUCUUCGCAUGGGGGUUGGUGGAAAGGGUUUUUCUGGUGGGGGAUGGGCUCGCGGCCUAUCAGCUUGUUGGUGGGGUGAUGGCCUACCAAGGCUUUGACGGGUAGCCGGCCUGAGAGGGUGACCGGUCACAUUGGGACUGAGAUACGGCCCAGACUCCUACGGGAGGCAGCAGUGGGGAAUAUUGCACAAUGGGCGCAAGCCUGAUGCAGCGACGCCGCGUGAGGGAUGGAGGCCUUCGGGUUGCGAACCUCUUUCGCUCAUGGUCAAGCCGCAACAAUGGUUGUGGUGAGGGUAGUGGGUAAAGAAGCGCCGGCUAACUACGUG
Molecule: ribosomal RNA, 483 nt
Filed under: uncultured bacterium
Lineage: Bacteria
Description: partial 16S ribosomal RNA
Rfam family: Bacterial small subunit ribosomal RNA
Source: RNAcentral